This 952-nucleotide long non-coding RNA is filed under the name Durio zibethinus. RNAcentral's name for it is "long non-coding RNA (DZIB_LNC000851)". The record is from RNAcentral. Lineage: Eukaryota; Viridiplantae; Streptophyta; Magnoliopsida; Malvales; Malvaceae.
AAAGCUUGAAAAUUUUGAACAGCCAAAAUUCAGUCAUUUCGGCCGUUGAAAAUGUUUUUGAUCGCCCAACUGCCACUGCUUAAGUUGGCAGCACAAUGAUCGGCCCUAAAGUCUUUCUCAAAUCCUAGAAAAUCUGGGAUUUGAACUCAGUGAGCUCUUUAAAUUAAGCCGGAAAUCACAGAACCGGGAAAGAGAACAGAAGACAGAGACGACAGAAGAGGAACACUGAAAAACUCAAACACAAAUUCUAAUUUUUUGAAAGCCAAAGCCCUCUGCAAACCCAUCGCCCAAAAUACAGAACAAAAGACCUUAGCAAAAAAGAAAUCCAACCACCCAAAUCACCCAACAACCAAAACUUCUUGUACCCAAACCAUCAACACCCGAGCAUCUCCAAAACUUGCUUAGCCAAAACCUUUUUCUGCCAUCACAUCUUCACCCAACACCUUCAUCAAAGCUGAAAAUCCCUUUUAUAGCAGUCCUUAUCACCUAAAGCCUUCACCAUACACACCAAUUGGCCCACCCCAUCUUUCAUAGCCAAACCACCAUUCACAAACCCAAAAAUCUUUAUUUUUUAUUUUUUUUCAAUUUUUUUAAAGAGAACAAAAAAAAAAUCUUAGUGGUUACUAAUAAAAAAAAAAGGCCAAGCCAUCCAAAUAAAUAAAUAAAUAUAUAAAAUAUCUUUGGUUUGUUUCAGGAAAGGAAAGGCACGACUGGCUUGGCAGGGAGAGAAUAAAAGGUUACAAGAAUAGGUGCUAGAUAAGUCAAAGGAGAAAGAUAAACAAUGUGGAAUUUGAGAAUUGCUCGUAAAGGUCGCACAGGAAGCCAGUCACACUUGGUGGAUCCAAUUCAAGCUUGUUCCACUUGGAGUCCAGUCCAAACAAUAUGGGUUUGAGACCCAUAGAUUUGUUGGGUAUUUUUCUUGUCUUUUAGUUUGAUGUAUUAUGUGUGUGGG